This 838-nucleotide ribosomal RNA is filed under the name Flavobacterium sp. AKB-2008-JO25. RNAcentral's name for it is "bacterial SSU rRNA". It matches the Rfam family "Bacterial small subunit ribosomal RNA", at positions 27 to 871 of the family's 1533-position model. The record is from RNAcentral. Lineage: Bacteria; Pseudomonadati; Bacteroidota; Flavobacteriia; Flavobacteriales; Flavobacteriaceae.
GGAUGAACGCUAGCGGCAGGCUUAACACAUGCAAGUCGAGGGGUAUAUGUCUUCGGAUAUAGAGACCGGCGCACGGGUGCGUAACGCGUAUGCAAUCUACCUUUUACAGAGGGAUAGCCCAGAGAAAUUUGGAUUAAUACCUCAUAGUAUAGUGACUCGGCAUCGAGAUACUAUUAAAGUCACAACGGUAAAAGAUGAGCAUGCGUCCCAUUAGCUAGUUGGUAAGGUAACGGCUUACCAAGGCUACGAUGGGUAGGGGUCCUGAGAGGGAGAUCCCCCACACUGGUACUGAGACACGGACCAGACUCCUACGGGAGGCAGCAGUGAGGAAUAUUGGACAAUGGGCGCAAGCCUGAUCCAGCCAUGCCGCGUGCAGGAUGAAGGUCCUAUGGAUUGUAAACUGCUUUUGUACGAGAAGAAACACUCCAACGUGUUGGAGCUUGACGGUAUCGUAAGAAUAAGGAUCGGCUAACUCCGUGCCAGCAGCCGCGGUAAUACGGAGGAUCCAAGCGUUAUCCGGAAUCAUUGGGUUUAAAGGGUCCGUAGGCGGUUUAGUAAGUCAGUGGUGAAAGCCCAUCGCUCAACGGUGGAACGGCCAUUGAUACUGCUAAACUUGAAUUAUUAGGAAGUAACUAGAAUAUGUAGUGUAGCGGUGAAAUGCUUAGAGAUUACAUGGAAUACCAAUUGCGAAGGCAGGUUACUACUAAUGGAUUGACGCUGAUGGACGAAAGCGUGGGUAGCGAACAGGAUUAGAUACCCUGGUAGUCCACGCCGUAAACGAUGGAUACUAGCUGUUGGGAGCAAUCUCAGUGGCUAAGCGAAAGUGAUAAGUAUCCCA